RNAcentral lists this ribosomal RNA (468 nucleotides) under uncultured bacterium. RNAcentral describes it as "partial 16S ribosomal RNA". It matches the Rfam family "Bacterial small subunit ribosomal RNA", at positions 28 to 507 of the family's 1533-position model. The record is from RNAcentral.
GACGAACGCUGGCGGCGUGCUUAACACAUGCAAGUCGAACGGAAAGGCCCUGCUUUUGUGGGGUGCUCGAGUGGCGAACGGGUGAGUAACACGUGAGUAACCUGCCCUUGACUUUGGGAUAACUUCAGGAAACUGGGGCUAAUACCGGAUAGGAUCUCCUGCUGCAUGGUGGGGGUUGGAAAGUUUCGGCGUUUGGGGAUGGACUCGCGGCUUAUCAGCUUGUUGGUGGGGUAGUGGCUUACCAAGGCUUUGACGGGUAGCCGGCCUGAGAGGGUGACCGGCCACAUUGGGACUGAGAUACGGCGCAGACUCCUACGGGAGGCAGAAGGGGGGAAUAUUGCACAAUGGGCGGAAGCCUGACGCAGCAACGCCGCGUGCGGGAUGACGGCCUUCGGGUUGUAAACCGCUUUCGCCUGUGACGAAGCGUGAGUGACGGUAAUGGGUAAAGAAGCACCGGCUAACUACGUG